CAGAGUCUCCGAACUCCAAACCUUUGUGAACAUACCACCGUUGCUUCGGCGGGAACCCCCGGGGCGCCCGCCGAGGGACCCAAACCAUUUUAUCCAUAGUGGACUCUUCAGAGUUUGAUAUACAAUCAAUCA
Molecule: unclassified non-coding RNA, 132 nt
Filed under: uncultured Ascomycota
Lineage: Eukaryota; Fungi; Ascomycota
Description: sequence contains ITS1
Source: RNAcentral